Molecule: non-coding RNA, 2261 nt
Organism: Anas platyrhynchos (mallard)
Lineage: Eukaryota; Metazoa; Chordata; Aves; Anseriformes; Anatidae
Source: RefSeq, a predicted model, not a curated record
CACAUGCUCAUUUUCCACUGGCUGAUCAUGGGCAAACCCUCAAUCACAUCCAAACCCUGCUGUGCUACCACGAAUGCUGGAAAGAGACUGCUCAAGGAUACUCUUGGAAUGCAAAGACAAAUUCCAGGUAAACUGAGGCACGGCGCUGCUGAAGCCUUAAGCUCCAUUUCCCUCUGGCUGCAGGGGAGCUGUGCAUGUUCAGCACCUCUGGAAGUCAGAGCAGCAAGGACAGGCACAGACCGACCCCAGAACUGCGGCACCAACCAGAGGAACACCAGAAAUCAAUCCCAUCCCACGGGCUAUGCCAGGCUCGUGUCUAUCUGUUGGAAGGCUCCCAGGAUCAGAGCGAUUCCCCACUGCAAGCUCCCACCCAGCCACCCCACCAAACCAACAUCUGAACCUCAUCAUUGAAAACAGCAUCCUGUUAACCUUUUCAAUGCCAUUUUCCCCUAAUCUUCCUUUCUGCUCUUCAUCACUACCAGGUUUAGCAACCCCUGCCUCUGUGUCAGCCCCAUUAGCAGCAGCACUGCUAUCGAUUCUCCUGGUCACAGUGAGGUGGACGUGAAGUUUCCUGGUUAACAGAGCAGAGCCUGGGAGCAGCACCACUCUCUGCCUCCCCUCCCUGAUUCAAGGUGAAGGCAAACGGGCAGAUCAGCCUCCUUUCCUAAUCCUUCCUACAAGCCCAAGUGGGAAACAGCAAAGGCGUGCACUUGCUACUCUCCAGUGCUUCUGAAUUCAGCCAAAUGGAGGUGAGAUUUGGCAUGCCCCAACAUCACCUUGUCUUUGCCAGAACCCAGCACAAGCACCUGAAGAUAAAGCCAGGCAGCACCAUGAGCUCGCUGGUGGGUUCUCCGCAGGUAAAUCUGCGUUGCAAGCUGCAGCUGCCGGCUCACACGCUUAACCAGAGCAGAGAAGCAGCACCAGGGUGCCAGCAGAUGAAGAUGCCUUUGAACAGAGAUGAGAAAGGCUGAAAUCCUUUGACACCUGGAAGUGAACUGUAUAUUACUAAAAUGUUAAGCAGCUUUGUGAGAGAGAUUAUCCUGAAGGAUAUUUUCCGCAGUGUUGACAUUUGUGUGUGAGUGAUUAAUUCCAGCGCGGGCAUGGAGCAGGGAGGCAAAACCCUUUGUGCAUCGCUCGUGACUUCCCUCGCUGCCACCAGCCAAGCCACAGCCUUCAGUCUAGAGAGGUCAUUAAUGCCUCCCUGACCUGUGACACUGUGUUACUUCAUCACCCUCAUCUGCUCGGUCACCUCUGAAGGCAGAGACUUGGGGAUUUUCCAUGCCCCUUUUUUGUCAACCACUGUGGCAGCAGAGUCACUUUUCUGCUGUUUGUUCUCCUGGUUUUUGACUGCCUCUAUAUUUUGUUGUUAUCUCUUGAGAUGCUCCAUCACAGCCACAGUGAAACACAGAGCAAUGGCUUUAAAAGAGAGGGACGGUAACAGCAGAAAACAAAGAUGAACCCUUGCUUUUGUGCAAGGGCAGCAGAAGGUAGCUGUGAAGCUGCAGGUCAUGAAGGCAAACAGGGAAGCUGGAAUUUUCUGACCCUCCCACCCUGCUCAUCGCUGGCUCUCAAGGGAAACAGCCUUGUCCUUUCCCAACCCUUUCAGGCAAGGAUGUCUUUCACUGGGGAAUUUAAUCCACUGCAGAAAGGUUGUUAUGUGUCUUUUGGGGUUUUCAACUAAAUGCUUCAAAAGUAUGAAGAAAAAAAAAAGAAAAUAUAAACUAUAAAAAGAAUUAAAAGAUAUAUAAUAAUAUAUAUAAUCUAUCUGUCUAUAAAAAUAGUAUAUCAGAACAGAAAAGCAAUAUAAAAAGAAAGAAAACAACUGCUGUCUAAUGACUGAAGUUCCUAAGCCCAUUUUUGCACUGGAGACCACUUCACACUUACACAAUCAAUGGCUCUCCUCAGCCAUUUAUUUUGGACUGGGGUGUCUUACACUCAGCGUCUCUACAAGCAGCUCUUACUACUGAUGAUAUAUGUUAGGUAACACCUUAGAUGUGUUUAAGACACAAUGAGUUUUCAUCCACCAGGAAUCCAAGCAUUAUUAUACAUGGUAGUGACCCGGGUAGGUGCACUUGCAAUUAUUUCAGCCAGCACUGAAAUUUGACAGUUUGGAAGCAGAAGACUGUGUGAUGGGGAAGGGUACAUCAGAGCAGGUGCAUGAGUUGUCCAGGAGAGAGCACGGACAGCACUUUGAACCCUGCAUGAAGUCAUCAGAUCUGCAGCAUGGAGCAGACCCUGGAAUCAAACCUCUUUGCUCUCAC